RNAcentral lists this ribosomal RNA (247 nucleotides) under Cyprinus carpio (common carp). RNAcentral describes it as "partial 12S ribosomal RNA". The record is from RNAcentral. Lineage: Eukaryota; Metazoa; Chordata; Actinopteri; Cypriniformes; Cyprinidae.
AGAGGCCCUAGUUGAUAUUACAACGGCGUAAAGGGUGGUUAAGGAUAAACAAAAAUAAAGUCAAAUGGCCCCUUGGCCGUCAUACGCUUCUAGGAGUCCGAAGCCCUAAUACGAAAGUAACUUUAAUAAACCCACCUGACCCCACGAAAGCUGAGAAACAAACUGGGAUUAGAUACCCCACUAUGCUCAGCCGUAAACUCAGACAUCCAGCUACAAUUAGAUGUCCGCCAGGGUACUACGAGCAUUA